GGAACUUUUCCCGGCUAUCAUAUCUCGAUCUUUCUCGAAACCAAUUCGUUGGACAAGUUCCACAUACUCUUGGAAGCCUGCACCUGCUCCAGGCGUUAGAUCUAUCUAGCAACAGGCUUUCAGGGAGCAUGCCUCGAGAACUCACAGAGAUACCUCAGCUGUCAUAUUUUAACGUGUCGUAUAACAAUCUGACUGGUGCCGUUCCGCAGGGAGCUCAGUUCAACACGUUCACCGAGGAUUCAUACAUAAGUAAUCCAGGACUUUGUGACUUCCCUCUGAGCCCUUGUGAUCCUAAAAACAACAGUUACAUCAACAGCACAGAAUUAAGAAAACCAGCAAAAGCGCCUCACCUGCAUACGGUCAUUAUUUUUCUUACUUCGAUCUCGUUAUGUUCAUUGGCGUUUAUGGCAUUGCUUAUAUAUUAUCCCUGCUCGCGGACAAAGGAAGAGUCAGAUGAGAUGAGCAUUAUCGAAGGAGAAAUUUGGAGUGCAACUCGAGGAUUCAACAAAGACAACAUCGUAGACAAGGGAGGAUGCAGCACGAUCUAUCGGGGUGUUUUGAGAGACGGGCAGACUGUCGCUGUGAAGGUUUACAAGCUUUCAGACCACACAGGCGAGGAGCAGUUUAUCGCUGAAUACAACAGCCUUAAAGACUUAAGACACAGGAACAUCGUGAGAAUCAUCGAGUGGUGUUCCGAGAGCAAGCUCAAGGCGCUAGUUUUCAAGUUCAUGGACAACGGCAGCCUAGAAAAGCAGCUUCACGAGCUUCAUGGGUCAAAUCUGCCAUGGACGGUACGCAUGAACGUCGUCCAGGGAGUUGCUAAUGCACUGAGCUACUUACACGAGGAGGCAGCAAGCACUGGACCCAUAAUUCACCGAGACAUCAAGCCAGCAAACAUCUUCCUGGACCAAAACAUGGAAGCACACCUUGGGGACUUUGGGAUAGCCAGGAAUUUACGACUGGAAAGCAGCAUGCAUUGGGAAAGCAAGCUCAAAGGCUCGAUCGGCUAUGUGGCACCAGGUACCUUAUCGUAUAGAGAGGAAAAAAAGGAAGCUGACGCUACUAAAAUAUGCAGAGUAUGGCUCGGAUGGAACAAUGACCACCGCCGCAGACGUCUACAGCUAUGGAAUCGUGAUUCUAGAGACGCUUACCAGGAUCCGACCGACGAGCGGCACGCUCAAAGAUAUUUCGCUGCGGAGCUGGGUGGAAUCACACCUGGUCGAAGGCCGGCUGGAAGACGUGCUGGAUCCCGUCCUCCGCCAGGAUUCGACCGCAGAGAGGAGCAUCGACGCCGUGGCCAGGAUCGGGCUCGUGUGUAGCCACCCGAUCGCCGCGGCGCGGCCGCGAAUGGGGCAAGUAAGCGCCAUUCUCCGCUCUACAAUCCCUAAUCUUGUUUGCGAUAGCCCUGCGUGUGUCUCAUAACAAGGUCUUUUGUUCCUACUCCAAUAGUCUAGGAAUAUUCUAGGAAGUGUUUAGAAAAUUGGCCGUUGGAAUUAGGGCUUACGUGGACGGGCUAAGGCUAUGGCUCCCGCAUUGGCGUGCUCUCUCGGCAAUGCGCCAGGAUCACUAGGUCAGGGUUUUUCUUCCAGGAGGAGCGGCCGAUUCGCCGCUACCGCCGCUACCGCCGCGGCCGACUCGAAUCCAUCGCUGCAUUCUUCUUCUCUGUUCGCGGGGUUUGAUUUCGGGACGUCCGGCGCGCGCGUUGUGGUGAUCGACAAGGAAGGGGAGAUUCUUGCGGAGAGGAAGCGGCAGUAUCCAGUAAGGAAUUCGAUGCUCUGUAGCGAAUUUUAGCGUCUCAAUGGUUUGGUUAGGCAGGCUGAGAAUCCCGCGGCUGCCAGCGGAUGGAAGGCGACGCUGUUUGCGCUGCUGGAAGAAAUUCCGGUGGACUUCCGCGCUCGCGUUGGCUCGAUUUGUCUGGAUGGGACUUCUGUGACCACGAUGAUCGUCGACAGGUUUUCUACAUUUUUCUUGGUUUUUUCCAUGAACUCAUCACGAAGUUUUCCAGAAACACGGGUGAAUUGUUGUCCCGUCCAGUUCUAUAUAACGAGAGCUGUUCCCAGAGUCUACCAUUCGUCCACCAGAUUGCUCCUGCCAACCACACUGUUCUCACUGGAACUUCCACUCUCUGCAAAAUGGUCGCAUGGUGGCAGCGAGCCGAGAAAGAGCAAAGGAAGAACGCGAUUUUGAUGCACCAGGCGGACUGGAGAAAUUUCCAGGUGGGUAGAGCAUGGAACCCCACCCUUGGACUGGGAUGAGGAAAGAAGAGGUAAAAAUCAAUUUUCAUUCCCUCUAGCUUGUCCAACAAGCAUCGGCACACUUGGGCAUGCCAUGGCAGUCAGCUCCAUGGCCUCGGCCAUGUCUGGUGCCAGCCAGCUCCGGGGCUUUGACCAUGUCCUGUAGCACCAGCCUGCUCUGCCAGCCAGCUCUAAGGCCGAGUGCUACCCAGCUCCAAAGCCGAAUGCUAAGGCGUCUCUGCCAUGGCCAGCCAAGCCAAGGCCAUGUCCCAAGGCAAGAGCAGGGAGUUCAGAAAAAUGUUCCUUAUCUUUCUAUAAAAUAGAAGAAAUUAAAAGGAACAAAAAUUAUUUAUACUAUAUAUAUAAAUAAAGGUGGGCUACAAAACCAACCCUGGUUUGGGAUUUUUUUAUAAAAAAAAGAAACCAUGGUUUCUUUAAUGAAAAUAGUGUGUGAGGUCACACAAUUUUAAAAGGGGGAGUGAUUGUUAUUGAUGCAGCGAGUUAUUGUGGCUCAGGUUCCCAAACCAAUGCAAAGUGGUGAUAGUUGAGCUCGUGGAGUUUUAGGGUUCUUGGAGUUUGAAAUUAAAUCCUUGUAAUAGAGUUGUUUGGUUCAAAAUUCAUUUUUUGGUUUUACCUCGAUAUAUUUAGAUUAUAUUUAGAUAUUUUUACCAUUUAACAAUUGUUAUUAAUCUUGUAUUUAUAAUUUAUAAAAUUUUCUAGUAUAUUCUAAAUGUAUUCUACUAUCUAAUCUUGUAUUUAUAAAUUAUAAACAUGUUUAAAAUUAUAAAACUUUUGACCUAAACAUGAUGAGUUUUAUCCUAACACUCUGAACUAUGAAUUAGACUAUGAACACUCACAACUAUAAAUAACUUGCUAUGUGUUGCAUUUAGCAAUGCUUGGUUUACUUAAUAUUUAUUAAUCCAAUUCAUCAAAUAAAGUUUAUAGUUAUAAGCAUGUUUGUAAUUUAUAAACACAAGAUUAAUCUUAUUUCAUAUUAAGAUGAUAGAAUAAAAAAGAAUAUAUUAGAAAGGGUUUUAAAAACUUUAUAACUUAUAAACAUGUUUAUAAAUUAUAAAUAAAAAAUUAAUCUAAAUGAAUAACAACCGUUAGAUGGUAGAAUAAUUUAAAAUAUUCAAGCAUAUUCUAAAUAUAUUCACUACCAUCCCUAUUACAGGUUUGCUUAAGCAAACCAAAAAGCUAUUCAAUUAUUUAAUUACUCAGAAAGUUUAUUGUGAAGUAUAAUGCAAAGUUACUAGUUAAAUGCAAACUUUGAAUAACUUAGUUCUAGCAUGAUCAUUAAAAAAAAGUGGUUUCACAAAUGUGUGAUGAAUACUUAUUUGGUUUCAUAUCAACUUCUAUUCUAGCAAAAAAAUUAGAAUUCUUAAUUGAAUCACACAAUAAGCAACAUGUAGAAUGAUUUAAUCACUAUAAUGUAAACUAAUGUAGGCUGGGUUUGAUCUCGAAACGUGGCUACAGAAGCAAGAGUUUGCCAACGAUGCUACCCACGUUAGACUGUAACACCAUGAAGCAGCUUGAAGGUUUUGUGCCUCAAGUAACACUGGGGUGCUACAUAGUAUUAGAAAGCUCAAUUACCUAGAAAAAAAACUGAAGUAACAAUGAAUCAAUUGAACUUACUGCCUUGCCUAGUUCCAGCCCGAGUGCCACCACCUUUGAUGUCGCGGUUACCACCAUCACAGAGAGAAUCUGCAAAGGUGAAGAGCGCAGUGGGGCAGAUUGAGCCCGCGCUACUCUGCUUUGCAGAUUUGGCUGCUGCAAGAACGAACAAAGCAGCGAAGAAGAACAUGGUGGUGGCUGAAGUGGUGGAAGAAGACACUAUUGCUAGGAUUGUGUUGGAGAUAAGAGUUUGUAUAGUGGUGAGUGUGGACUAUUUUGUGUCCAAGCUAUUCCAGAUGUAGCUGGGGAGCUCUAUAAGUAAAUGGCUAAGAAAGCCGUAAUACUAUCAGUUGUCCCUGUGCAAACAACACAGUCUGGAGGAAGCUCUGAGAUAAAAAUGUCCAUAAGGAAGGAAGCAGAUAUAAGAAUGUCGAUUAGCAGAGGUAGUCACUUUUGUAGAAUUGCUAGCAUCCAUUGCACGUUACGCUUCUAUGGUGUGAAUGUGAUGGAACCUGGGGCUGUUGUAGGAACAGUCAAGGUGGUUUCAUUCAGCAAUGCAUCAAUUUGAACAUACAUUCCAUUCAGAUACCUCAAUACAUUACAUUUAGAUAGUUCAGGCUUUUAACUUGAGUUUCUUGCAUCUGAGUGAGAUCGGAAACCAAAACACAACCAAACUAGUCCUACGCCAUUUGGAAAUAUUUCUCAAGCUCCACCAAAUGCCAGCGAAUCCUGUGGCGGGGCCAUGAUGACAGGCUUCUUCUCGGAUGUCCUCUCUCGCGCAGGUACAUUCUAUUAGUAUAUGUCUUGCGUAUCUUUUAUUUUGUGGGCUCACAAGAAGGAAAAACCAAAAGAGAAAAUAGUGCCCUUUGGAGUGAUGGACUUUGCUACUUCAGGAGAUGCUGUGGGUCAGCAAUUGGCACAAACAUGUCAUGAUUUGCCUCACAACACAGAAACUUAGCAUAUAACACAUAUAGACAUAUUGAAUCCAGUAUUCAGGAUCACCUUGUGUUUCUAUCUGAUCUGGAUAGAUGUUAUGAAGCUCUACACAUUAAUCACAAGAAUUAGCCUUCCAUAAUGCUUGCAAUAGUUUGUGUGAAGGCUUUCUGCAAGAUCACAAGUUCACCAUUUUUAUCUUUUCUAGCCUCUACUGAUAAAUGUACUCAAAAUCUUCUUAAGAGUGUUUGCAUGUGUGGAUAUUUUCUUGCUUCUUCUAAGUGCAUUUUCAAUCUUUCAAAAAACGUAAUUUUCCCUAAAACUGUAACUUUGGGGAGCGUUUUCAUUUCCUCAUCAACACACGUCAAUACCACUAAGUCUUCCUUUCCUUCCCUCAUCCACAGCCUGAUUGCUAGUUCUUCAACUCGAUGUUUUCCCUGACUAUAAAAUUCAGGAUUGGGGCCUCUUGAGCAAGAGUCUGCAGAAUUGGUUUUGUUUAGUGUUCAACAAAAUUCUCAGUCUUACCAAUUGAAGAAUCCAAAGAAUGGCAUUGCCCAGCCUGCUCUCAACAAAGCUCAAGCCGCUUGAGCUCCUGUCCGGUGUCACUCAUUAUGAUCUUCCGCCAAUUCCCUGUUCUCUUCCUGUCAAGUGUCAUCCUCAAUUUGCUAAGUUUUCUCGCAUUGCCGAUACAUGGGCCAUCGACGCAAUGCAGCUGCAAAAUGAUCCAUGUGGAAAGCUCAAGGCUGUGCAGAGCCGAGCCCCGCUGCUUUACUGCUUCCUCGUCCCUUUCGGCAUCGGAGAGGAAGAAAUGAUUGCAGGCUGCAAGUACAGCUGGUCGACUUCCUUCGUGGAUGAUCCAUUUGACGAAGAAACGGAUUUGAAGCGGGCCAAGGAAUGGAAGAAGGUCGUGCUGCGAGCUGCGAACGGUACUCCCAGUGCUGAAGAUUUGAUGAUAAGGACGAUAAAAGCUUAUUCGGAGAUUAUGAUGCACCUGCAACAGAUGAUGGCGGCCCCAGUGUUUUCGAGGUGAUGACCCCAAUUCUGUUUGCUUCUUUCCUAGAAAUAAGACUUUGUUUUCUGUACAGGUUCAUGAGGGCUCACUACGCUUGGGCAGAUCACUGCGUGGAGCUUGUUCGUAGAAGGCAGCAUAAAGACCCUCCAACUGUAGCCACAUACCUUGCAGACAGGUGCGAAAAUCUGCUCGUAGAACCGAUCUUCAUUCUGGCGGAGGUGUGCAUGAAGCUUCAGAUUGACCCGGAGUUCCUGUCGCUGCCAGAGUUCAAGAAAAUCUGGACCACAAUGCUGGAACAUGCGGCUAUCGUGAACGACGUCUUGUCAAUCCGUGUAGACAUCCUCAACGGACACUACUACACCUAUCCUGGCCUCGUCUUCCAGCAGCAUCCUGAGAUCCAAACUUUCCAGGAGGCUGUGGACUAUUCCGUGGGGAUGAUCCAGACCAAGGAGAGAAAGUUCAUCAAACUGCACGAGAUGCUGACCGACAAAGCCAGGCAAUGCGGCUUCAAGAACAAGUCCGACUUGCUCAAGUAUGUUGAAGCUUUGCCAAACUUCAUCGCUGGAAAUCUUUACUGGCACUACCUUAGCGCCAGAUACUUCGGUGUCAACAACCCCUUCCUCACCGGAGAGCCUGUCCAAGGCACCAUCCUCAUCCAUCCCCGCAACACAGUCGUGCUCCCACCUUACCAGCGAAACAAGCACCCCUUUCUCAUCGAUGUCGACAAUCUGGAGCUCGGUGCGUGAUUACUGGUAAGCGCGGAUCGUUAAGUUACUCACUUCACUAUCUGGUUUGUUGUGCACUUUCUGAACAUAAGAAAUCCGAAUGUAAAUAUCAAGCGAAAAAAUAAAGGAAAAAACCAUGAAUUAUGUGUUCCUCGCGCGAUGAUCUUUUCAAUACUUCCCACAUAUGGACCCUGAGUCAACACAUGUAAACGAAAAGGUCAGGAAGAGAGUCAAAGCUCUACAUGCAAGGUCCUUGGCAGCUGCCGAAACCGAGUUUUGUUUAUCUCAUCAUUGAUGGUUUCCAUUGCAUUAUUGCAGUUUUGUGAUGAAGGACCGCACCUCUCCUGCAACGCUAUCUAGAUCAGUUCGUAGCCGCCCACCUGGAGUUUAAGAGAAAGAUGGUACAAGUCUUAUAAGUUCUUUGAGCUAAUUCAAAACUAUUUGUACCUGGAUGAUCAACACAUAAUUUAUCAGCCUGGCAUUCCUCUGGAAGUUAUCGCGGUUGACGUGGAGGAGAGCCAUUGAGCAGACUGCACCUGGACAGGUAUUCGUGGCCAUCCAACAGAAUCCAGAUUUUUCUUUCACAGACUUGAGCUCGUCGCAGACUGUACAUCUCAGGGUCCUUCAUCUCGCCUAUUCGAACGAUACAGACUCAACAUCUGGAGCUUCAGUACCGCAGUUAGGCAGCAGAGUGCUCAAGUCGGACGGACAGCUGGAUGAAAUGUACUCGAGAUGAUCUAAACUCGAGCUAGAGCCGAAUCAUCAUAGCCACCAGCAAGCAGCUUCACGAGCUUCAUGGAUCAAAUCUGCCAUGGACGGUACGCAUGAACGUCGUCCAGGGAGUUGCUAAUGCACUGAGCUACUUACACGAGGAGGCAGCAAGCACUGGACCCAUAAUUCACCGAGACAUCAAGCCAGCAAACAUCUUCCUGGACCAAAACAUGGAAGCACACCUUGGGGACUUUGGGAUAGCCAGGAAUUUACGACUGGAAAGCAGCAUGCAUUGGGAAAGCAAGCUCAAAGGCUCGAUCGGCUAUGGAUUCUAGAGACGCUUACCAGGAUCCGACCGACGAGCGGCACGCUCAAAGAUAUUUCGCUGCGGAGCUGGGUGGAAUCACACCUGGUCGAAGGCCGGCUGGAAGACGUGCUGGAUCCCGUCCUCCGCCAAGAUUCGACCGCAGAGAGGAGCAUCGACGCCGUGGCCAGGAUCGGGCUCGUGUGUAGCCACCCGAUCGCCGCGGCCCGGCCGCGAAUGGGGCA
Molecule: long non-coding RNA, 7778 nt
Filed under: Selaginella moellendorffii
Lineage: Eukaryota; Viridiplantae; Streptophyta; Lycopodiopsida; Selaginellales; Selaginellaceae
Description: long non-coding RNA (SMOE_LNC000654)
Source: RNAcentral